GACAAGAAAUAACAACUCGGGGCCUCACGGCUUACGAGAUUGCAAUAGAGAACAAAUUUUAAAUCUCUUAGCGAGGAACAAUUUGGGAGGGACAAGUCUGGUGCCAGCAGCCGCGGUAAUUCCAGCUCCAAUAGCGUAUAUUAAGUUGUUGCAAGUUAAAAAGCUCGUAGUUGAAUUUCUGAUUAUGGAUGUAGCGGUUUCCGUUACAUUUGUAGUCAUCCACAUGAGAACCUUUCUCGGCCUUCACUGGUCGGUUGGGGGAUCAUGUACUUUACUUUGAAAAAAUCAGAGUGUUUCAGGCAGGCGUUUGCAUGAAUACACAAGCAUGGAAUAAUGGAAUAGGACUAGGGUCCAUUUUAUUGGUUAUUGGACCAUAGUAAUGAUUAAUAGGGACAGUUGGGG
RNAcentral lists this ribosomal RNA (402 nucleotides) under uncultured eukaryote. RNAcentral's name for it is "SSU rRNA". It matches the Rfam family "Eukaryotic small subunit ribosomal RNA", at positions 469 to 887 of the family's 1831-position model. The record is from RNAcentral.